This 317-nucleotide ribosomal RNA is filed under the name uncultured bacterium. Its description in RNAcentral is "bacterial SSU rRNA". It matches the Rfam family "Bacterial small subunit ribosomal RNA", at positions 28 to 334 of the family's 1533-position model. The record is from RNAcentral.
GAUGAACGCUAGCGGCAGGCUUAACACAUGCAAGUCGAGGGGCAGCGUGAUGAAGUAGCAAUACUGAUUUGACGGCGACCGGCGCACGGGUGCGUAACGCGUAUGUAACCUACCUCUAACAGGGGGAUAACACUGAGAAAUUGGUACUAAUACCCCAUAACACUUAAGGAGGCAUCUUCUUAGGUUGAAAGUUCCGGCGGUUAGAGAUGGACAUGCGUUGUAUUAGCUAGAUGGUGAGGUAACGGCUCACCAUGGCGACGAUACAUAGGGGGACUGAGACGGUUAACCCCCCACACUGGUACUGAGACACGGUCCAG